This 820-nucleotide ribosomal RNA is filed under the name uncultured prokaryote. Its description in RNAcentral is "bacterial SSU rRNA". It matches the Rfam family "Bacterial small subunit ribosomal RNA", at positions 60 to 912 of the family's 1533-position model. The record is from RNAcentral.
AGUCGAGCGGUAGAUUUUUUUAGCUUGCUAGAAAAUUUGAGAGCGGCGAACGGGUGAGUAACACGUUGGUAUCUGCCCCCAAGUCAGGGAUAGCCAUUGGAAACGAUGAUUAAUACCGGAUAGUCUCUUCGGAGUAAAGAUUUAUUGCUUGGGGAGGAACCUGCGGUCUAUCAGCUAGUUGGUGAGGUAAUAGCUCACCAAGGCUAUGACGGAUACCUGGUCUGAGAGGAUGAUCAGGCACAAUGGAACUGAGACACGGUCCAUACUCCUACGGGAGGCAGCAGUGAGGAAUCUUCCACAAUGGACGAAAGUCUGAUGGAGCGACACCGCGUGAAGGAUGAAGGCCUAACGGUUGUAAACUUCUUUUCUGAAGGAGCAUAAUGAGAGUACUUCAGGAAUAAGGGACGGCUAAAUACGUGCCAGCAGCCGCGGUAAUACGUAUGUCUCAAGCGUUACCCGGAAUCACUGGGUGUAAAGGGUUCGUAGGUGGUUAGAAAAGUUGGAUAUGAAAGACCGGAGCUCAACUCCGUGUUGGUGUUCAAAACUGUUUAACUAGAAUCAGGGAGAGGUAAGUGGAAUUCUGUGUGUAGGGGUGCAAUCCGUAGAUACACAGAGGAACACCAAAAGCGAAGGCAACUUACUGGAACUGUAUUGACGCUCAUGAACGAAAGCGUGGGUAGCGAAAAGGAUUAGAUACCCUUGUAGUCCACGCCCUAAACGAUGAUAACUCCCUGUUGCGACUAGCUCGCAGUGCUGAAGCUAACGCGUUAAGUUAUCCACCUGAGGAGUACGGCCGCAAGAUUAAAACUCAAAGGAAUAG